RNAcentral lists this ribosomal RNA (301 nucleotides) under uncultured bacterium. Its description in RNAcentral is "partial 16S ribosomal RNA". It matches the Rfam family "Bacterial small subunit ribosomal RNA", at positions 509 to 807 of the family's 1533-position model. The record is from RNAcentral.
CAGCCGCCGCGGUAAUACGGAGGGGGCUAGCGUUGUUCGGAAUUACUGGGCGUAAAGCGCACGUAGGCGGCUUGGUAAGUUAGAGGUGAAAGCCCGGAGCUCAACUCCGGAAUUGCCUUUAAGACUGCCGAGCUAGCAGGUGAGAGAGGUAAGUGGAAUUCCGAGUGUAGAGGUGAAAUUCGUAGAUAUUCAAAAGAACACCAGUGGCGAAGGCGGCUUACUGGCUCAUACUGGACGCUGAGGUGCGAAAGCGUGGGGAGCAAACAGGAUUAGAUACCCCGGUAGUCCCUGUCUCUUAUAC